RNAcentral lists this ribosomal RNA (440 nucleotides) under uncultured bacterium. RNAcentral's name for it is "partial 16S ribosomal RNA". It matches the Rfam family "Bacterial small subunit ribosomal RNA", at positions 338 to 795 of the family's 1533-position model. The record is from RNAcentral.
CCUACGGGUGGCAGCAGUGGGGAAUAUUGCACAAUGGGGGAAACCCUGAUGCAGCGACGCCGCGUGAGUGAAGAAGUAAUUCGUUAUGUAAAGCUCUAUCAGCAGGGAAGAAAAUGACGGUACCUGAGUAAGAAGCCCCGGCUAACUACGUGCCAGCAGCCGCGGGAAUACGUAGGGGGCAAGCGUUAUACGGAUUUACUGGGUGUAAUGGGAGCGUAGACGGCAGGGCAAGUCUGGAGUGAAAGGCGGGGGCUCAACCCCCGGACUGCCGUGGAAACUGCCAGGCUGGAGUGCAGGAGAGGUAAGUGGAAUUCCUAGUGUAGCGGUGAAAUGCGUAGAUAUUAGGAGGAACUCCAGUGGCGAAGGCAGCUUACUGGACUGUAACUGACGUUGAUGCUCGAAAGCGUGGGUAGCAAACAGGAUUAGAUACCCUAGUAGUC